This 435-nucleotide ribosomal RNA is filed under the name uncultured bacterium. RNAcentral's name for it is "partial 16S ribosomal RNA". It matches the Rfam family "Bacterial small subunit ribosomal RNA", at positions 29 to 507 of the family's 1533-position model. The record is from RNAcentral.
AGCGAACGCUGGCGGCAGGCUUAACACAUGCAAGUCGAACGGGCAUCUUCGGAUGUCAGUGGCAGACGGGUGAGUAACACGUGGGAACGUACCCUUCGGUUCGGAAUAACUCAGGGAAACUUGAGCUAAUACCGGAUACGCCCUUUUGGGGAAAGGUUUACUGCCGAAGGAUCGGCCCGCGUCUGAUUAGCUUGUUGGUGGGGUAACGGCCUACCAAGGCGACGAUCAGUAGCUGGUCUGAGAGGAUGAUCAGCCACACUGGGACUGAGACACGGCCCAGACUCCUACGGGAGGCAGCAGUGGGGAAUAUUGGACAAUGGGCGCAAGCCUGAUCCAGCCAUGCCGCGUGAGUGAUGAAGGCCUUAGGGUUGUAAAGCUCCUUUGUCCGGGACGAUAAUGACGGUACCGGAAGAAUAAGCCCCGGCUAACUUCGUG